GUUUAAAUGCAAAUUGCAGCAGCAGGUAAAGAAACUUGUGUGAAUGUCAUGUAAACCAGCUUUCUCGGUAGCCUGGGUAAUAUCACUCCGCCUCUGUUGUAACCUAUGCUACCAAUUACA
Molecule: long non-coding RNA, 120 nt
Organism: Etheostoma cragini (Arkansas darter)
Lineage: Eukaryota; Metazoa; Chordata; Actinopteri; Perciformes; Percidae
Exons: 3
Source: RefSeq, a predicted model, not a curated record